CCUACGGGUGGCAGCAGUGAGGAAUAUUGGUCAAUGGACGAGAGUCUGAACCAGCCAAGCAGCGUGAAGGAUGACUGCCCUAUGGGUUGUAAACUUCUUUUAUAUGGGAAUAAAAUGUUCCACGUGUGGGAUUUUGUAUGUACCAUAUGAAUAAGGAUCGGCUAACUCCGUGCCAGCAGCCGCGGUAAUACGGAGGAUCCGAGCGUUAUCCGGAUUUAUUGGGUUUAAAGGGAGCGUAGGUGGAUUGUUAAGUCAGUUGUGAAAGUUUGCGGCUCAACCGGAAAAUUGCAGUUGAAACUGGCAGUCUUGAGUACAGUAGAGGUGGGCGGAAUGCGUGGUGUAGCGGUGAAAUGCUUAGAUAUCACGAAGAACUCCGAUUGCGAAGGCAGUUCACUGGACUGCAACUGACACUGAGGCUCGAAAGUGUGGGUAUCAAACAGGAUUAGAUACCCUUGUAGUC
Molecule: ribosomal RNA, 460 nt
Filed under: uncultured bacterium
Lineage: Bacteria
Description: partial 16S ribosomal RNA
Rfam family: Bacterial small subunit ribosomal RNA
Source: RNAcentral